RNAcentral lists this long non-coding RNA (115 nucleotides) under Cyanistes caeruleus (blue tit). Its description in RNAcentral is "lncRNA (ENSCCEG00000024165.1)". Lineage: Eukaryota; Metazoa; Chordata; Aves; Passeriformes; Paridae. The record is from RNAcentral.
GGAGAACAGCAGUAGAUACGACGCCGAUAAGCAAGAAAGAAAAAUUAAGGACAAAAAGACGGAGCUGUUUCUAAAAAAUCAGGAUAAACAGGCCUGACUCACUGUUUGCUGACUG